This 1631-nucleotide ribosomal RNA is filed under the name Paraclostridium bifermentans ATCC 638 = DSM 14991. RNAcentral's name for it is "bacterial LSU rRNA". It matches the Rfam family "Bacterial large subunit ribosomal RNA", at positions 1228 to 2856 of the family's 2925-position model. The record is from RNAcentral. Lineage: Bacteria; Bacillati; Bacillota; Clostridia; Peptostreptococcales; Peptostreptococcaceae.
GUAGGGGAGCUUCCUAUGCAGGCUGAAGCAUGACCGUAAGGACGUGUGGACAGUAUAGGAGUGAGAAUGUUGGCAUGAGUAGCGAGACGUGGGUGAGAAUCCCACGGGCCGUAAACCCAAGGUUUCCAGGGGAAGGUUCGUCCGCCCUGGGUUAGUCGGGACCUAAGCCGAGGCCGAAAGGCGUAGGUGAUGGACAACAGGUUGAGAUUCCUGUACCACCGAUAAUCGUUUGAGAGAUGGAAUGACACAGUAGGAUAAGCUAACCACACUGUUGGUUAUGUGUGGCUAAGUACUGAGGCAGUCAAGGCAGGCAAAUCCGCCAUGAUAAUGCUGGGGUACGAUGGGGAGCGAAAUUAAGUAGCGAAGUAGCUGAUUUCACACUGUCGAGAAAAGUUUCUAUCGAGAUUAAAGGUGCCCGUACCGCAAACCGACACAGGUGGGUGAGGAGAGUAUCCUAAGGCCAGCGAGAGAACUGUUGUUAAGGAACUCGGCAAAAUGACCCCGUAACUUAGGGAGAAGGGGUGCCACGUUAGGGUUAACGCCCGAGGUGGCCGCAGAGAAUAGGCCCAAGCGACUGUUUACCAAAAACACAGGUUUCUGCUAAGUCGCAAGACGAUGUAUAGGAGCUGACGCCUGCCCGGUGCUGGAAGGUUAAGGGGAUCUGUUAGGAUUUAUCCGAAGCAGUGAACUUAAGCCCCAGUAAACGGCGGCCGUAACUAUAACGGUCCUAAGGUAGCGAAAUUCCUUGUCGGGUAAGUUCCGACCCGCACGAAAGGCGUAACGAUUUGGGCACUGUCUCAACAACAGACUCGGUGAAAUUGUAAUCCCGGUGAAGAUGCCGGGUACCUGCGACAGGACGGAAAGACCCCAUGGAGCUUUACUGUAGCUUGACAUUGAAUUUUGGUGCUACAUGUACAGGAUAGGUGGGAGGCUAUGAAAUCGGGACGCCAGUCUCGGUGGAGCUAUCCUUGGGAUACCACUCUUGUAGUACUGAGAUUCUAACCAGAUACCUUGAAUCAGGUAUUGGGACACUGUCAGGUGGGCAGUUUGACUGGGGCGGUCGCCUCCCAAAGAGUAACGGAGGCGCUCAAAGGUUCUCUCAGCACGGUCGGAAAUCGUGCGUAGAGUGUAAAGGCAGAAGAGAGCUUGAUUGCAAGACAUACAGGUCGAGCAAGGACGAAAGUCGGACUUAGUGAUCCGGUGGUUCCGCAUGGAAGGGCCAUCGCUCAACGGAUAAAAGCUACCCUGGGGAUAACAGGCUUAUCUCCCCCAAGAGUCCACAUCGACGGGGAGGUUUGGCACCUCGAUGUCGGCUCAUCACAUCCUGGGGCUGUAGUAGGUCCCAAGGGUUGGGCUGUUCGCCCAUUAAAGUGGUACGCGAGCUGGGUUCAGAACGUCGUGAGACAGUUCGGUCCCUAUCCGUCGCAGGCGUAGGAAAUUUGAGGAGACCUGUCCUUAGUACGAGAGGACCGGGAUGGACGUACCUCUGGUGUACCAGUUGUUCUGCCAAGGGCAUGGCUGGGUAGCUAUGUACGGAAUGGAUAAGCGCUGAAAGCAUCUAAGCGCGAAGCCAACUUCAAGAUAAGAUUUCCCACCGUAAGGGUAAGAUCCCAGGAAGACUACCUGGUUGA